GAUGAACGCUAGCUACAGGCUUAACACAUGCAAGUCGCGGGGCAGCAUGGGGGUUGCUUGCAAUCCCCGAUGGCGACCGGCGCACGGGUGAGUAACGCGUAUCCAACCUGCCCUUCACCACGGGAUAACCCGGCGAAAGUCGGACUAAUACCGUAUGUUGUCCAUUAACGGCAUCCGAUUUGGACGAAAGGUUUGGCGGUGAAGGAUGGGGAUGCGUCCGAUUAGCUGGACGGCGGGGUGACGGCCCACCGUGGCGACGAUCGGUAGGGGUUCUGAGAGGAAGGUCCCCCACACUGGAACUGAGACACGGUCCAGACUCCUACGGGAGGCAGCAGUGAGGAAUAUUGGUCAAUGGGCGUAAGCCUGAACCAGCCAAGUAGCGUGCAGGAUGACGGCCCUAUGGGUUGUAAACUGCUUUUAUGCGGGGAUAAAGUGGCCCACGUGUGGGUUUUUGCAGGUACCGCAUGAAUAAGGACCGGCUAAUUCCGUG
Molecule: ribosomal RNA, 490 nt
Filed under: uncultured bacterium
Lineage: Bacteria
Description: partial 16S ribosomal RNA
Rfam family: Bacterial small subunit ribosomal RNA
Source: RNAcentral